AAUAGAUACCCAGGUAGUCCACGCCGUAAACGAUGAGUGCUAAGUGUUGGAGGGUUUCCGCCCUUCAGUGCUGCAGCUAACGCAUUAAGCACUCCGCCUGGGGAGUACGGUCGCAAGACUGAAACUCAAAGGAAUUGACGGGGGCCCGCAUAAGCGGUGGAGCAUGUGGUUUAAUUCGAAGCAACGCGAAGAACCUUACCAGGUCUUGACAUCUCCUGACCGCCCUGGAGACAGGGUCUUCCCUUCGGGGACAGGAUGACAGGUGGUGCAUGGUUGUCGUCAGCUCGUGUCGUGAGAUGUUGGGUUAAGUCCCACAACGAGCGCAACCCUUGGUUCUAGUUGCCAGCAUUGAGUUGGGCACUCUAGAGCGACUGCCGGCGACAAGUCGGAGGAAGGUGGGGAUGACGUCAAAUCAUCAUGCCCCUUAUGACCUGGGCUACACACGUGCUACAAUGGAUGGUACAAAGGGCAGCGAAGCGGCGACGCAUGAGCGAAUCCCAGAAAACCAUUCUCAGUUCGG
RNAcentral lists this ribosomal RNA (520 nucleotides) under uncultured bacterium. RNAcentral's name for it is "bacterial SSU rRNA". It matches the Rfam family "Bacterial small subunit ribosomal RNA", at positions 777 to 1296 of the family's 1533-position model. The record is from RNAcentral.